AAAUUGAAGAGUUUGAUCAUGGCUCAGAUUGAACGCUGGCGGCAGGCCUAACACAUGCAAGUCGAACGGUAACAGGAAGCAGCUUGCUGCUUCGCUGACGAGUGGCGGACGGGUGAGUAAUAUCUGGGAAACUGCCUGAUGGAGGGGGAUAACUACUGGAAACGGUGGCUAAUACCGCAUAACGUCGCAAGACCAAAGAGGGGGACCUUCGGGCCUCUUGCCAUCAGAUGUGCCCAGAUGGGAUUAGCUUGUUGGUGAGGUAACGGCUCACCAAGGCGACGAUCCCUAGCUGGUCUGAGAGGAUGACCAGCCACACUGGAACUGAGACACGGUCCAGACUCCUACGGGAGGCAGCAGUGGGGAAUAUUGCACAAUGGGCGCAAGCCUGAUGCAGCCAUGCCGCGUGUAUGAAGAAGGCCUUCGGGUUGUAAAGUACUUUCAGCGGGGAGGAAGGUGU
Molecule: ribosomal RNA, 457 nt
Filed under: Salmonella enterica
Lineage: Bacteria; Pseudomonadati; Pseudomonadota; Gammaproteobacteria; Enterobacterales; Enterobacteriaceae
Also listed under: 1 other name
Description: bacterial SSU rRNA
Rfam family: Bacterial small subunit ribosomal RNA
Source: RNAcentral